RNAcentral lists this long non-coding RNA (275 nucleotides) under Manihot esculenta (cassava). RNAcentral describes it as "long non-coding RNA (MESC_LNC009802)". Lineage: Eukaryota; Viridiplantae; Streptophyta; Magnoliopsida; Malpighiales; Euphorbiaceae. The record is from RNAcentral.
GAUAGAGCAUAAUUUAGUCCAUUUUAUAUUAAUAUUAUUGAUGAAUAUUUACAUGAUUUCUGCUUAAUUUAUUGCUUUUAAUAUUAUUUUGCAGAAAAUGGUGUAAAAGGACAAUUUGGAGAAAAUCCCCCUAAAACUGCCUUAUUUGGAGCCAAGAAAUAAUUGGGCCCGCACAUGACAGCCCAUUCUUGCAAAGAAGCAAGCACUUCACAUAAACCACCAUGGGCCCGCACUUCAUCAAUUCACGCUUAUGGACCAGCCCACAAAUGCAAGCU